CCGCUGGUAUUUUGACUGUGCAAAGGUAGCAUAAUAAUUAGUUUUUUAAUUGAAAGCUUGUAUGAAUGGUCGGACAAAAGAAAAUCUGUCUUCUAUUAUAAUGAUAGAAAUUAACUUUUAAGUGAAAAGGCUUAAAUUGUUCAGAGGGACGAUAAGACCCUAUAAAGCUUUAUAUAUUAUCUGAAUUUGAGUAAAUUGAUUUAUAAAAUUUUAAUUUGGAAUAAUUUAUUUUGCUGGGGCGGCAUAGGUAUAAGUUAUAUUAACUGCUUAAUAAAAAUACAAUUAUAGUUGAGUUAUUAAUUAAAAGAUCCUUUUUAAAGAUAUUGAGAAUAAGUUACUUUAGGGAUAACAGCGUUAUUUCUUUUGAGAGUUCUUAUCGAAAAAGAAGUUUGCGACCUCGAUGUUGAAUUAAAUUGUCUGAUAUGGUGCAGUAGCUAUAUAAGAAGGUCUGUUCGACCUUUAAAUU
RNAcentral lists this ribosomal RNA (466 nucleotides) under Menippe nodifrons (Cuban stone crab). RNAcentral describes it as "partial 16S ribosomal RNA". It matches the Rfam family "Bacterial large subunit ribosomal RNA", at positions 1931 to 2597 of the family's 2925-position model. The record is from RNAcentral. Lineage: Eukaryota; Metazoa; Arthropoda; Malacostraca; Decapoda; Eriphiidae.